Molecule: ribosomal RNA, 683 nt
Filed under: Bacillus sp. GWS-AG-H79
Lineage: Bacteria; Bacillati; Bacillota; Bacilli; Caryophanales; Bacillaceae
Description: bacterial SSU rRNA
Rfam family: Bacterial small subunit ribosomal RNA
Source: RNAcentral
UGAUCAUGGCUCAGACGAACGCUGGCGGCGUGCCUAAUACAUGCAAGUCGAGCGAACAGAAGGGAGCUUGCUCCCGGAUGUUAGCGGCGGACGGGUGAGUAACACGUGGGUAACCUGCCUGUAAGACUGGGAUAACUCCGGGAAACCGGAGCUAAUACCGGAUAGUUCCUUGAACCGCAUGGUUCAAGGAUGAAAGACGGUUUCGGCUGUCACUUACAGAUGGACCCGCGGCGCAUUAGCUAGUUGGUGGGGUAAUGGCUCACCAAGGCGACGAUGCGUAGCCGACCUGAGAGGGUGAUCGGCCACACUGGGACUGAGACACGGCCCAGACUCCUACGGGAGGCAGCAGUAGGGAAUCUUCCGCAAUGGACGAAAGUCUGACGGAGCAACGCCGCGUGAGUGAUGAAGGUUUUCGGAUCGUAAAGCUCUGUUGUUAGGGAAGAACAAGUGCGAGAGUAACUGCUCGCACCUUGACGGUACCUAACCAGAAAGCCACGGCUAACUACGUGCCAGCAGCCGCGGUAAUACGUAGGUGGCAAGCGUUGUCCGGAAUUAUUGGGCGUAAAGGGCUCGCAGGCGGUUUCUUAAGUCUGAUGUGAAAGCCCCCGGCUCAACCGGGGAGGGUCAUUGGAAACUGGGAAACUUGAGUGCAGAAGAGGAGAGUGGAAUUCCACGUGUAGCGG